AGUGAACGCUGGCGGUAGGCCUAACACAUGCAAGUCGAACGGCAGCACAGUAAGAGCUUGCUCUUACGGUUGGCGAGUGGCGGACGGGUGAGGAAUACAUCGGAAUCUACUUUUUCGUGGGGGAUAACGUAGGGAAACUUACGCUAAUACCGCAUACGACCUACGGGUGAAAGCAGGGGAUCUUCGGACCUUGCGCGAUUGAAUGAGCCGAUGUCGGAUUAGCUAGUUGGCGGGGUAAAGGCCCACCAAGGCGACGAUCCGUAGCUGGUCUGAGAGGAUGAUCAGCCACACUGGAACUGAGACACGGUCCAGACUCCUACGGGAGGCAGCAGUGGGGAAUAUUGGACAAUGGGCGCAAGCCUGAUCCAGCCAUACCGCGUGGGUGAAGAAGGCCUUCGGGUUGUAAAGCCCUUUUGUUGGGAAAGAAAAUCAGCAGGUUAAUACCCCGCUGUUCUGACGGUACCCAAAGAAUAAGCACCGGCUAACUUCGUG
RNAcentral lists this ribosomal RNA (492 nucleotides) under uncultured bacterium. RNAcentral's name for it is "partial 16S ribosomal RNA". It matches the Rfam family "Bacterial small subunit ribosomal RNA", at positions 29 to 507 of the family's 1533-position model. The record is from RNAcentral.